Molecule: long non-coding RNA, 225 nt
Filed under: Homo sapiens (human)
Lineage: Eukaryota; Metazoa; Chordata; Mammalia; Primates; Hominidae
Description: non-protein coding lnc-SDHAF1-1:1
Source: RNAcentral
AUGGGGCUACACCAGGAGCAAUGAUGAAAUGCUUCUCAGCCGGGCGCAGUGGUUCACAUCUGUAAUCCCAGCACUUUGGGAGGCCGAGGCCCGAGGAUCACUUGAGCCCAGGAGUUCAAGACCAGCCUGGGCAACAUGGUGAGACAUCAUCUCUACUUUUUUUUUUUUAAUAAAAAAGAAAUAUGGCUGGACACGGUGACGCACGCCUGUAAUCCCAGCACUUCG